UUGGACUAUCGUGGGAUCAACCAUCACCCAUCACUUCACCACUGCGACACCGCUUAAUUUCGAAUGUCAUCACCGCACACACCUGGUACCUGGACGCUGCUGAUUCGAUAACUGCCGCCGCCGAACGCAAUGUCGUCGUCCCUCCACUCCUGUAUCAAGUCGCCGGAAAGCUCCAAUAGCUGAAAGAUGCGGCAGAAUUCAGAAAACCUGUUAUCAGAGACGGACCUACCAGCCACUCCUCCCCCCCCCCUAGCCUUCCCACGAGGCUCCCCGAGAUGUGCAUGAGCGGAGAGGGAGAUUUAGCCGGGCCUCUCUCUUGAAGAAGCCUCGCCUCGCUUCGCAUCACGUCCCAGAUUGACACCACCCGGCAAGGCGCAGGACCAGGCCAGGAGAUCCCGGGGCUGGGUGCGGAUGGCGGCCUUUGUGUACUCCCUCAGGAUGCCGGGCAGAGGCGCCGGCACCCUCGUGUCCACCACUCCCUCCGCCACCACCACCAUCUUGGACUAUAACAAAGAGGCUGUGUGUGGGCUCUUGUGAUACCGUGAAUUUUCCCACGAGGCCUGGGUGGCGCGGGUGCUGUCCUGGCAGCACGUUGCUGGAUGUUACGGAGGUCAUCACCACCAACACCUCUCCGCCACACAACACGACCCUGCACCGCUGCACUCAUACAUUAGGUGUGGCCGUUACAUGGGCCUGACUCAGCAGUCCCAAGUCACUUGUAACAUAAAGACCGACGUCACAACAUCACUGUACACUACCAGCAUCUUUGCACACUACCGAACUUCUGAGAGCUAUAUCGGUUCCAUCCCAGUUAACUCCUCAGCCACAGCGGUGCUCAAGUCCGACCUUUACCCGCCGAAGCGUCUGAAGUCCCGGCAUCCUGUUGCUCCUCAGCUGUGUGUGAUAGCAGUCCAUCUCAGGUCUGCCUCUUCAGAAGAGGACACAGACUGAGGCGUGCGGUCCGACACGUGUAGGGGCUGUGCGGUUUCAAGUCGUUCAUUGGAGGCGUAGGUCAUCAGGAAUUGUUCGGUCUUGGUGUUAAAGGUUCUGCUACUACUGGAGGGAGAACCAAACCAGCGUGUCCAAACAACCCCCGACUUGGAGCCAGGAUACUGGCUUUUCUUGCGCCGGAAGACGGUCUCGCUGCACCUUCCCGGAAAACUGAACCCUACCUCGAACCAGCUCUCCUAGGGAGAGGGGGGACACACUGGCUCGCUCUACCUUCCAUGGAGGAAUUGGUUCCUACCUCGCACCAGGUCAUCCAGGCAGGGAGGACACUGCCUCGCUCCACCUUCCCCAGAGGAACUGAACCCUGCCUCGAACCAGCUCCUCCAGGGAGGGUGGGGCGGACACUGGCUCGCUACACCUUCCACGGAGGAAUUGGACCCUACCUCGCACCAUCUCCAGGAAGGGAGGACACUGCCUCGCUCCACCUUCCCCAGAGGAACUGAACCCUACCUUGAACCAGCUCCUCCAGGAA
This 1480-nucleotide unclassified non-coding RNA is filed under the name Portunus trituberculatus (swimming crab). RNAcentral describes it as "uncharacterized LOC123499601, transcript variant X3". The record is from RNAcentral. Lineage: Eukaryota; Metazoa; Arthropoda; Malacostraca; Decapoda; Portunidae.